This 1677-nucleotide ribosomal RNA is filed under the name Salmonella enterica. RNAcentral's name for it is "partial 23S ribosomal RNA". It matches the Rfam family "Bacterial large subunit ribosomal RNA", at positions 1273 to 2925 of the family's 2925-position model. RNAcentral also lists the same sequence under 1 other name. Lineage: Bacteria; Pseudomonadati; Pseudomonadota; Gammaproteobacteria; Enterobacterales; Enterobacteriaceae. The record is from RNAcentral.
CUGGAGGUAUCAGAAGUGCGAAUGCUGACAUAAGUAACGAUAAAGCGGGUGAAAAGCCCGCUCGCCGGAAGACCAAGGGUUCCUGUCCAACGUUAAUCGGGGCAGGGUGAGUCGACCCCUAAGGCGAGGCCGAAAGGCGUAGUCGAUGGGAAACGGGUUAAUAUUCCCGUACUUGGUGUUACUGCGAAGGGGGGACGGAGAAGGCUAUGUUGGCCGGGCGACGGUUGUCCCGGUUUAAGCGUGUAGGUGUGUGUUCCAGGUAAAUCCGGUUCACUUUAACACUGAGGCGUGACGACGAGGCACUACGGUGCUGAAGCAACAAAUGCCCUGCUUCCAGGAAAAGCCUCUAAGCAUCAGGUAACAUCAAAUCGUACCCCAAACCGACACAGGUGGUCAGGUAGAGAAUACCAAGGCGCUUGAGAGAACUCGGGUGAAGGAACUAGGCAAAAUGGUGCCGUAACUUCGGGAGAAGGCACGCUGACACGUAGGUGAAGUGAUUUACUCAUGGAGCUGAAGUCAGUCGAAGAUACCAGCUGGCUGCAACUGUUUAUUAAAAACACAGCACUGUGCAAACACGAAAGUGGACGUAUACGGUGUGACGCCUGCCCGGUGCCGGAAGGUUAAUUGAUGGGGUCAGCGCAAGCGAAGCUCCUGAUCGAAGCCCCGGUAAACGGCGGCCGUAACUAUAACGGUCCUAAGGUAGCGAAAUUCCUUGUCGGGUAAGUUCCGACCUGCACGAAUGGCGUAAUGAUGGCCAGGCUGUCUCCACCCGAGACUCAGUGAAAUUGAACUCGCUGUGAAGAUGCAGUGUACCCGCGGCAAGACGGAAAGACCCCGUGAACCUUUACUAUAGCUUGACACUGAACAUUGAGCCUUGAUGUGUAGGAUAGGUGGGAGGCUUUGAAGUGUGGACGCCAGUCUGCAUGGAGCCGACCUUGAAAUACCACCCUUUAAUGUUUGAUGUUCUAACGUGGACCCGUAAUCCGGGUUGCGGACAGUGUCUGGUGGGUAGUUUGACUGGGGCGGUCUCCUCCUAAAGAGUAACGGAGGAGCACGAAGGUUGGCUAAUCCUGGUCGGACAUCAGGAGGUUAGUGCAAUGGCAUAAGCCAGCUUGACUGCGAGCGUGACGGCGCGAGCAGGUGCGAAAGCAGGUCAUAGUGAUCCGGUGGUUCUGAAUGGAAGGGCCAUCGCUCAACGGAUAAAAGGUACUCCGGGGAUAACAGGCUGAUACCGCCCAAGAGUUCAUAUCGACGGCGGUGUUUGGCACCUCGAUGUCGGCUCAUCACAUCCUGGGGCUGAAGUAGGUCCCAAGGGUAUGGCUGUUCGCCAUUUAAAGUGGUACGCGAGCUGGGUUUAGAACGUCGUGAGACAGUUCGGUCCCUAUCUGCCGUGGGCGCUGGAGAACUGAGGGGGGCUGCUCCUAGUACGAGAGGACCGGAGUGGACGCAUCACUGGUGUUCGGGUUGUCAUGCCAAUGGCACUGCCCGGUAGCUAAAUGCGGAAGAGAUAAGUGCUGAAAGCAUCUAAGCACGAAACUUGCCCCGAGAUGAGUUCUCCCUGAGACUUAGAGUCUCCUGAAGGAACGUUGAAGACGACGACGUUGAUAGGCCGGGUGUGUAAGCGCAGCGAUGCGUUGAGCUAACCGGUACUAAUGAACCGUGAGGCUUAACCUUACA